Cucumis melo (muskmelon) is the source of this 922-nucleotide long non-coding RNA. RefSeq lists it as uncharacterized. NCBI's taxonomy places the organism in Eukaryota, Viridiplantae, Streptophyta, Magnoliopsida, Cucurbitales, Cucurbitaceae. The record is from RefSeq and is a predicted model, not a curated record. The transcript is spliced from 3 exons.
CCCGAUAUUUUCUUGGUUUAAUUUCUUUAAAUGUGGAAAAAAAAAAGAAAAAAAAAUGGAAAUUAAGUGUAAAUAUAAAUAUAUAUAUUUAUAUAUUAAAUAGUUUUAUUAAAUUAAUUAAAGAAAAGAAAGAAAAGAAAGGACAAAAAGAAGAAAAGGAGAAGAAAAUUUCAUUUUCUCUUUUCUUCUUCUUCUUCUCUUCCCUUCACCGCCAAGUUUGAAGACAUCCAAGUUCCCUUUAUUUUUUUGUUCUUUUUCCUUCUUCAAUUUGCAGAGAACUUCUAAGAGAGAGUUUGGAAGAAGAAGAGAAAUUUUACUAGAAUUUUUAGGUUGAAGAAGAGGAGGAGAACUCAAGCAAAGUGUAUCAAUGGCUGAAUUUUAGUUCAUUCUGCACAUCACUGGUUUUUAAUUCGGUUUGAACUCUUCAAAAAGAAUUAAGAGGGCAGUUGGUUUUCACUCGAAAUCAGGAGGUCUCUGGUUUUUCUUGUAUUUCAGAGUUUAUCGGUGGAGUUAGAAUUUCUAUUUGGAACAAGUUAAAGAGGUCGUGUGCGCGCGAUUCUGGAAGUGGUUCUGUUUUGAGGGUUAUAUGUGUUUAUGCACGGGGAAUCAGAUUUAUAUGUCUUCAGGUAAGUUUUAGAGGAUCUCAAAAUGAAGAUUUUGAUAUAAAGAACACUCAUUUUGGUUAAGUAUUGAGAAAGUUAUAGUUCUUUGAAGUUUAUGUUAGAAAUCUGGAAAUUUUAGAGAAUUGUUGAGAUAGGAUUUUAUUUCUUAAGCUUUGUUUUCGUGAGCGUCAUCUUUGGUGCGACAUGUUAUGUAUAUCUUUAGGAAACCAGAAUGUUUAAGGUUUUAAUACUCGGUUGGGUUGUUGGCAGGCCGAGAAGAAUUAAACCGAGCUUAUAGACCAAGGAUCUAGCCCAAGACU